This 249-nucleotide ribosomal RNA is filed under the name Escherichia coli. RNAcentral's name for it is "partial 23S ribosomal RNA". It matches the Rfam family "Bacterial large subunit ribosomal RNA", at positions 1 to 241 of the family's 2925-position model. Lineage: Bacteria; Pseudomonadati; Pseudomonadota; Gammaproteobacteria; Enterobacterales; Enterobacteriaceae. The record is from RNAcentral.
GGGUUGUGAGGUUAAGCGACUAAGCGUACACGGUGGAUGCCCUGGCAGUCAGAGGCGAUGAAGGACGUGCUAAUCUGCGAUAAGCGUCGGUAAGGUGAUAUGAACCGUUAUAACCGGCGAUUUCCGAAUGGGGAAACCCAGUGUGAUUCGUCACACUAUCAUUAACUGAAUCCAUAGGUUAAUGAGGCGAACCGGGGGAACUGAAACAUCUAAGUACCCCGAGGAAAAGAAAUCAACCGAGAUUCCCCC